GGGGAUGUCAGGUUUCGACGGGGGAGGAAAGCCUGGAAUUGCAAGCCGAGGUGCCAUCAAGCCUCGUUAAACCGGUGGCAAAGCCAUAACUGGCAACAAACAACUCGCACUAGCCGCCUAACAAGGUGACUACGUCCAACUCAGCCUCGCUCUGGUGGGCCGGGAUUGGGCGCCAUAAUGCCAGAGUGCUGUGGUCCUGAUCGCCGGUAAGGACCGCUUAAGACCAUCGGCUAGCGCAAGCGAAGCGUUGUCGGCUAGGCUUGCAGGCGCGAAAUCUAUAACUAACCGACUAAGCUUGUAGCACAUUCCUUGUUGAAUCUUCUGGACGGGGGUUCGAUUCCCCCCAUCUCCACCC
This 355-nucleotide transfer-messenger RNA is filed under the name Chloroflexota (GNS bacteria). RNAcentral's name for it is "JAMCWX01 sp023480885 Standard tmRNA". It matches the Rfam family "transfer-messenger RNA". From Rfam's summary of the family: Bacterial tmRNA, also known as 10Sa RNA or SsrA, is named for its dual tRNA and mRNA-like properties. Its role is to liberate the mRNA from a stalled ribosome. RNAcentral also lists the same sequence under 2 other names. Lineage: Bacteria; Bacillati. The record is from RNAcentral.